ACCCUUUAAUGUUUGAUGUUCUAACGUGGACCCGUGAUCCGGGUUGCGGACAGUGUCUGGUGGGUAGUUUGACUGGGGCGGUCUCCUCCUAAAGAGUAACGGAGGAGCACGAAGGUUGGCUAAUCCUGGUCGGACAUCAGGAGGUUAGUGCAAUGGCAUAAGCCAGCUUGACUGCGAGCGUGACGGCGCGAGCAGGUGCGAAAGCAGGUCAUAGUGAUCCGGUGGUUCUGAAUGGAAGGGCCAUCGCUCAACGGAUAAAAGGUACUCCGGGGAUAACAGGCUGAUACCGCCCAAGAGUUCAUAUCGACGGCGGUGUUUGGCACCUCGAUGUCGGCUCAUCACAUCCUGGGGCUGAAGUAGGUCCCAAGGGUAUGGCUGUUCGCCAUUUAAAGUGGUACGCGAGCUGGGUUUAGAACGUCGUGAGACAGUUCGGUCCCUAUCUGCCGUGGGCGCUGGAGAACUGAGGGGGGCUGCUCCUAGUACGAGAGGACCGGAGUGGACGCAUCACUGGUGUUCGGGUUGUCAUGC
Molecule: ribosomal RNA, 528 nt
Filed under: Salmonella enterica
Lineage: Bacteria; Pseudomonadati; Pseudomonadota; Gammaproteobacteria; Enterobacterales; Enterobacteriaceae
Description: partial 23S ribosomal RNA
Rfam family: Bacterial large subunit ribosomal RNA
Source: RNAcentral